Long non-coding RNA from Dermacentor andersoni, 1382 nucleotides. RefSeq lists it as uncharacterized. The record is from RefSeq and is a predicted model, not a curated record. NCBI's taxonomy places the organism in Eukaryota, Metazoa, Arthropoda, Arachnida, Ixodida, Ixodidae.
UAUGACAAUUAGUCCAUCAAACAAAGGACAAAGUUCGCGCGAGCAUGUUAAAUACGAAGUCUUUCAGAAACCGAAACUACGACAAACUUGUCGCGUUGCAUGAGUUACCAUCAAAGCAGUGUCGAAAAUUGCUCACCCUAUUAUUUAAAGUAAGGUUCACUCAAGCGUCUGACUAGACUUUCUGUCGAAGCGAACAAAAAACUAAUUCAGAAGCUAAGCGGCGACUAGGGCGACAGCCAGCGCUUUCUUCUGCACUUCUGGACGCACGUCACGUGACCUGACGGAGAACUUUUGGCGCGCUUCCGUGCCUCAACCUGUGCCUGGACUACGGUGCCUCAAAGCCGAAGGAUUUAUCUGCGUUUGUUACGUGUGUUCUGUGUUUACUGCGUCUUUCCCUUCGACGAGAGAACGGCAAAAAGCUUCGAGGAACAACGCCCUGUCCCCGGAAAAAGGCACAGCGACGUUCGUCAGGCGAGCAGAAUGCGGCUGCCGCGGCCGAGACCGAACCAGCGACGUCGAGCACGGCGGCGCAAGGCCACCGCGGCGGGUCUGUCUGGAUGUCUGGCACCCCGGAACGUCACGAUGAGACAUCGCAUAUCAAACUGGCGAUUUAUCUACAGAAACGCUGCCUGACAGAAGACUUCGCAUGGACGACCUGCCAGUAAUGCCACACAUAGCAGCUUCACCACGCCACUUAAUAGUGGUCGUUGGUAUGAAAAUUACUACACCAGGCAAGCAAAUUAAUUAAGGGCCCAGCCACACAGAGGAAUGAAUUCUCCACAUGCUGUGCAUUGCUUCAAGUCUUGCUUUGUUACACGUCCCCUUCUUUGUCUUUUGUGCAUUUCCAACUGCCCAACUUGGCAACCAAUAUUAAAGGCCCAACCACACAGGGCUCAUUACACGCAUCUGGCUAUGGCAUCACGCACCUGUUCUAGGUGUCUUGCAAGAGGAAAUGCGCGGAUAUCUGCUCAUGCCGGAUAUGAGCGUCUGCACCAAAAGUUGCAAGCUGUGUGCCAACAUCACGCGGCAUGUGAAAUUCCGACAUGGAUGCUGAAACACAUUGGUUUUGUUCUGAAGAUGUGAACAUACAAGCUUUGCGUGUUGCUCAAUUUGAAAAUAAUGUAGCACCUGUAAUAUUGAUAAAUAGAAAACAGUAGCAUAACAACGUUCAGAAUAAACUUUCCUCAAACCCAAAAACUAACGGUUCCGCUCAGGGUGAUCUCGCAGCACUAUGCACAAUUAAGUGCGCGUAUCGUGUGUCUGAUCGCCCUUCCCUUCGUCGCACGCAUACGGACUCAAAACCGUGUAAGCUGACAUAUGUACCAGGCACCAUAAGUUCUCAGCAUACUUGAAGGCAGUCCCAUUCUCUCUUUUCUGGUCAC